GAUGAACGCUGGCGGCGUGCCUAAUACAUGCAAGUCGAGCGAACAGAUGAGGAGUUUGCUCCUCUGACGUUAGCGGCGGACGGGUGAGUAACACGUGGAUAACCUACCUAUAAGACUGGGAUAACUUCGGGAAACCGGAGCUAAUACCGGAUAAUAUAUUGAACCGCAUGGUUCAAUAGUGAAAGACGGUUUUGCUGUCACUUAUAGAUGGAUCCGCGCCGCAUUAGCUAGUUGGUAAGGUAACGGCUUACCAAGGCAACGAUGCGUAGCCGACCUGAGAGGGUGAUCGGCCACACUGGAACUGAGACACGGUCCAGACUCCUACGGGAGGCAGCAGUAGGGAAUCUUCCGCAAUGGGCGAAAGCCUGACGGAGCAACGCCGCGUGAGUGAUGAAGGUCUUCGGAUCGUAAAACUCUGUUAUUGGGGAAGAACAAAUGUGUAAGUAACUAUGCACGUCUUGACGGUACCUAAUCAGAAAGCCACGGCUAACUACGUG
This 497-nucleotide ribosomal RNA is filed under the name uncultured bacterium. RNAcentral describes it as "partial 16S ribosomal RNA". It matches the Rfam family "Bacterial small subunit ribosomal RNA", at positions 28 to 507 of the family's 1533-position model. The record is from RNAcentral.